Molecule: non-coding RNA, 1553 nt
Organism: Myodes glareolus (Bank vole)
Lineage: Eukaryota; Metazoa; Chordata; Mammalia; Rodentia; Cricetidae
Source: RefSeq, a predicted model, not a curated record
CUCAGACAAAAUACUACUUUAUGACCUUUGUCACACAGAGUUUUGCUUUAUGUUAAGGGACAAGCCAGAACAUGCAGUAAUUUGCCUCUGCCUGGUGUUGAAGCCACACAAAUGUCCAUGCUGUUAGCCUUACUCUGGGCUUGUAGGGCUUUUGAAUCCUGGGGUUGGUAAGAUAUGCUAGGGAUGUGAUGAAGAUGAGGUCACCAGUCUCAAGAAGUUGGAGGGAGUUUCUUCAAUGAGACAAGUAUUUUUUGAGCCUUCUUCCUUUUUGACUUUCUUCAGUACUUGGGCAGAGCACACAUGGGAAUAUCCUAGUAUCCCCCUCCCCCGCAUUCCCAGAAUCUGCAGAUUUCUGUCAGGCACAUAACUGAGUCCAGUUUGCAGCUAGUCAAGAUAGGUCAAAUCUAUCUUAUUCCAGAACAGACAUGUGAAAAACUCCAGUCUAUUCAGGGUGAAUUUGGAGACUUUGGCUGGGAUUGUGUGUGUGUGUGUGUGUGUGUGUGUGUGUGUGUAUGUGUGUGUGUGUGUGAGAGAGAGAGAGAGAGAGAGAGAGAGAGAGAGAGAGAGAGAGAGAGAGAGAAGCAUGCAGCCUCAGGUUUCCAUCCGUGGAGCAGAGGUCCAAGCCUUUGUCAAGGUCCUCAUCCUCCUCUUGGGUUGUGAGAAGCUCCCUCUUUUCUUAGAGGUGCUGUGAAGGAAGAAGCUUAGGGCUUAGGAAUCUUCCCCUGCUACAUCACGUGGGAGAAAGGACGGUAACCCACAUGCCCUUCUCACCGAGGGAUGCCACGCUUCUCGUGAUGCCUGUUCUGAACUGCAGAGAGGAGGGCACUCUCAUACAGGCAGAGUUUCCCUACAGGUGUGGCAUCUGUAUACAUGAAUGCAGGUGGCGAUGGAAGCCAGAAGAGUGUUGGAUCCCUUGGAGCUGGAGCUGCAGGUGGUCGUGAACUUUGAAUUCAGCUGGGGUCCUCUGGAAGAACAGUGCAUCAUGUUCCCAACUUCUGAACCUUAUUUCUAGCCCUGGGAUCGGGACUUCCUGGAAAGCAACUUCUGCUGGGCAUUAGGUAGGCCUCCGUCAGUCCUCAAGAAUUCAACCAGGGCUGCACCCAUGUGCUUGCGUAUCACUGCCUGUGUCAUUAGGGAGGCUGCUUAGCCCAGCUGCGGAAGAAUCCUAGUCCUUAGCACCUUUGGUGUGAAGCCCUACUGGGCCAAGUGGGCUCCCGGGGAGCUGUUUCUAGCCAAGUCUCCAUGUGCCUGGUGGGUGGGUGUAGAAACCCGGGUAAGGCUUGGCAGGAGAUCUGCCGUGGGCACUGUUACAACCCAAACAGUCGCCGUGGACAGAGCGCUUCACGCGUCUCUUCCAUAUGCCUGGAAGCUGCAAGAGUCUGUGCAAGCCCUAGAAACGGAGACGUUACAGGAAGUGCCCAGGGCUCACCAGACAGCUUGCUAUGCUGCCUUCCAGGCAUCUGAAAACCACCGAAUAUUUAAACUGCCAUUUAAAUAUUCUCAGGUCGGUCCUCCCACUAUCGGACUGAAAUAAAGAUUUUUGGUCAUCUGAA